GACGUAGGAGGCGAGCGUUGUCCGGAUUCAUUGGGCGUAAAGAGCGCGCAGGCGGCUUGGUAAGUCGGAUGUGAAAUCCCGAGGCUCAACCUCGGGUCUGCAUCCGAUACUGCCCGGCUAGAGGUAGGUAGGGGAGAUCGGAAUUCCUGGUGUAGCGGUGAAAUGCGCAGAUAUCAGGAGGAACACCGAUGGCGAAGGCAGGUCUCUGGGCCACUACUGACGCUGAGAAGCGAAAGCAUGGGGAGCGAACAGG
RNAcentral lists this ribosomal RNA (253 nucleotides) under uncultured bacterium. Its description in RNAcentral is "partial 16S ribosomal RNA". It matches the Rfam family "Bacterial small subunit ribosomal RNA", at positions 524 to 776 of the family's 1533-position model. The record is from RNAcentral.